AGUGAACGCUGGCGGUAGGCCUAACACAUGCAAGUCGAACGGCAGCACAGGAGAGCUUGCUCUCUGGGUGGCGAGUGGCGGACGGGUGAGGAAUACAUCGGAAUCUACCUAGUCGUGGGGGAUAACGUAGGGAAACUUACGCUAAUACCGCAUACGACCUUCGGGUGAAAGUGGGGGACCUUCGGGCCUCACGCGAUUAGAUGAGCCGAUGUCGGAUUAGCUAGUUGGAGGGGUAAUGGCCCACCAAGGCGACGAUCCGUAGCUGGUCUGAGAGGAUGAUCAGCCACACUGGAACUGAGACACGGUCCAGACUCCUACGGGAGGCAGCAGUGGGGAAUAUUGGACAAUGGGCGCAAGCCUGAUCCAGCCAUACCGCGUGGGUGAAGAAGGCCUUCGGGUUGUAAAGCCCUUUUGUUGGGAAAGAAAUCCUAUUGAUUAAUACUCGGUGGGGAUGACGGUACCCAAAGAAUAAGCACCGGCUAACUUCGUGC
RNAcentral lists this ribosomal RNA (491 nucleotides) under uncultured bacterium. RNAcentral's name for it is "bacterial SSU rRNA". It matches the Rfam family "Bacterial small subunit ribosomal RNA", at positions 29 to 508 of the family's 1533-position model. The record is from RNAcentral.